AGAAGGACACAUCAACGCUUAAGCUUCAGAAUUUCAGCUCCUCUGACUCUUGAGUUUCAUCUUGGGUAAAAGGACGCUGACAGAUAUGAAGAUCUUUAUCUUUGCCCUCAUCAUGGCUCUCAUGGUUAUCAUGGCUAGUGCUGAUGCAUUUGACGGGGCUAACUACUUCCCCAAUCCGCCAGGGGCACAAUAUUCAUCAUUCGCAACAUAUAGUGACAACCAACCAUCCUCUGGGUUUCGAUUUCCUUUCUUCAGUAAUUAGUAACCACAGGACAUGAUGACAGAGAAGCUGCACAAGGGCCAUCUGGGAAUCUGCCUCAAAUUUCACAUGCUUGGCGGGAAGUCCUACUUGCUCUCUUUCUCCUGACGAAUCUUCCUACUCGAAACUUCUUUAACCCAUCUACUAACACCUUUUUAGCCUUCCAUAUAAUAAACACAUCCAAAGUACUUUGAAAUCAUGUUUCAAAACAAUUCAAAGGAGUGCAGUAUUAUUGGUAUUAUGUUCUGCAUUACAUUUUCAGAUAAUUUGACCCAUCAAAAAUUUCCAGCCUUUCAAAAAUGAAAAAGAAAAUCCAAUCAACUAGUGUUACAUGAACAACACACCUGAAAUCAAUAACCAAUAGUGUUACAAUAAUAGUACUGGUAUUUCCUGAACUAUUUGAUUUCUUCUUCUUUGUUCUCUGUGUUAACUGCAUUAUAAAAAUUAAAAAAAAAACAAAA
Long non-coding RNA from Manis pentadactyla (Chinese pangolin), 720 nucleotides. RefSeq lists it as uncharacterized. NCBI's taxonomy places the organism in Eukaryota, Metazoa, Chordata, Mammalia, Pholidota, Manidae. The record is from RefSeq and is a predicted model, not a curated record. The transcript has 6 exons.